UGAAUGAGUUCUCCAUAUUCUGAUUUCUUUUUAAUUGCCCAUUCUCUUAAUAGCAAGCUUGGAUUUGGGUGAGCCUUGUGUGUUAGAGACUUGGAAGAUUUAUAUAUAUAUACACACACAAUACUAUGAGUGUAAGAAAACUUUGAAGGUUUAGAAAUCUGAAGGGAAAGGAAGGAAGGGUUUCUUUCGCUGUUUAAACAAAUCGGCUGGUGAUUCCUGUAUUGUUGUAGCAGCCACCCUUCUGCUGUGUCUGUGUGACAGAGACGUCCUUGAGAGCUGGAUAGAUGGUGAUGGUGGGGACAGUGCAGUAAUCAUGACAAGCUUUCAUUAUUGCUCUGGCUAGCCCAGCUCUUUAAUGAGGAUGUAAUGAAUAGAAGCCUGGUUAAUUCUGCCUUCACCCGAGGAGGAAGGGACGCUGGAGCCACCAUUAUAACUAGCAUUUAUUGCCAGUAAACAUGACAUUAAGGGUCAUAUGAAAGUGACCCCAAUUUGCUGCUUCAAUAUAUCCAUAUUAAUGCCCAGAUGCACCAUAUUUUGCAGAAAUUAACUGAUUUUAUUUAAAUGGUAGCCAGUUAAAUUGGGGGGUGUACUGUUUUCCUGUUUGUUUGGCUGGAGAGAAGGGACGCUAGCAGUCCUAGGCAGUAUGCCAAGCCAGGGCAAGCUUGCUGAAAGUGUAUUCCUGCAAUUCAUCACACUGUGCUUGGACCACUGAGCCCUUCACCAUCCGGCUUCAGGGGGCAGAGAGCACUCCUUGCUUCUAGACCAGACACUCUUGCCAGAGAGGGAAGAAGAAAAGGAGAACAGUUAAGGGAAGAGACCAUCAAGGAAAGACAAGGGGUACAAAACAGUACAAUGAAUGACAGAGCUGACAGAAAUUCAGAAAAGGAGCCCAAGGCCAAAGAGGACAUCUUCUCUUCAGAAAAGUUGGAGAAACAAGAGCAAGAAGUCUGUCCUCUCAGCAUCAUCCAUCAUGCCUGUCCCAUCUGCCCCAAGCAGGCUUAUGUCACUGAGGAGGACCAUGGCGGAUACAAGCAAAGUGCUUUGUGAGGUACCCAGGGGGAGGAUUAGCUCUGCCUUCUUCCUCCGUUCUCUGCUUCAGUGAGAUUGACGCCUGGAUCAAGGAGUAACCCUCCUAUGUAGGGUCUUACUAGACACCAAACAAAAUAACAGCAUUAGGCUUGCUCCAACAUCUGCUCCAAAUGGGGAGGGACGGUCCUUUCUAUUGGUUGAUGGACUUGGUAUCACUUGUGCCCUUGUGAGAUGAAGCACAUCAUGCCUGAAUCUAGUGGGCUUUUAAUAAAUGCUUACUCAGGGAAUGAAUGAACAAACAAAUGAAUGAAUGAAUGAAUGAAUGAAUUCUAGCUGGACCACAAGGCUGCCAUGGUUCAGAUACUCCUAUGGUUUCACCAUGAGACUACAGUGUCCUGGGUUGAAUCUCUAAUCUGGCUAACACUUUUUAUCUACCAAAUUGAGGAGAACAUUACCAAGUUCAUAUCUCAUUCUGAUGGAGAGAUUUUCUUUCCUCUUCCAGUGAUUUUUGAUUUUCCAGCUUUUGUCAUGUCCAGUAUUUAACAGAAAUAAAAGUCACUCUCCUUUUU
Long non-coding RNA from Phascolarctos cinereus (koala), 1598 nucleotides. RefSeq lists it as uncharacterized. The record is from RefSeq and is a predicted model, not a curated record. NCBI's taxonomy places the organism in Eukaryota, Metazoa, Chordata, Mammalia, Diprotodontia, Phascolarctidae.